RNAcentral lists this long non-coding RNA (866 nucleotides) under Gossypium barbadense (sea-island cotton). RNAcentral describes it as "long non-coding RNA (GBAR_LNC018845)". The record is from RNAcentral. Lineage: Eukaryota; Viridiplantae; Streptophyta; Magnoliopsida; Malvales; Malvaceae.
UAAAAUCAAGAUGUAGCAUAAUUUAUUACUUAUCAGUAAAGAUAAUUAGGUUUGGUUGGAAAGGAAGGGUGAACUUGAUAUAAAGCCCAACCCUUAGCAGAAAGCUUCGGUCCCCAGCUAGCUUACGAGUAUCGCAGGCAGGCCUUUAGCUCAUUACAAUGUGGGAAAAUCAGAUCAGACACCAUAAUCAGUCCACUACAAAGUUACUUUUCCAUCCAGGUUCUUCGGCUUUCUCAAACACUAAUCUCUGUAGAUCAUCUACUACUUUUUUUCUUACAAAUUUUAAAUUGAGUGAGAGGAUGAUUUUGCAUAGAUGCUCAUGCCAGUUUUUUCUUCUUUGCAACAUUAAAUUAUCAUUUCGCUACACACUCGAGUCACAAGAAGAAAGAAGCAUAAACAUACAAAGAUUCACAAGACCAGGCCGACAAUCAAUCCAUCGGGCAAGACAAAGCAAACCAAACCAAAACAAAGCCCAAGAUCGAUGCAUAGAAAAAACAAGACGAAUCAAACAUUAAGAGGCAAAAUGGGGGCCAACCCCUGAACUAUGAAUCGGCAGUAAGCUCUUUUAAGGCAGAAUGAUUAUACAAGUUUUCCAGGACCGUGUGGACUGCAAUCAAAGCUUGAAGUGACGUUGUUUUGCAGGAUCAGCCAUCAUUGACUCACUGAUGCUUUGACAGUGUUUUGAUAUACUCAUCCAAUAGAUGAAACACCAUGUAUAACACCGUGAAGAAAAUAAUGGAUCAAUAAAACUGGAUGUUCCUUUCCAAAUAAGAACAAUUGAGCUCAUACAUUGCUAUGGAGGACAAAGAGCCAAUGUGAAGGCAAACGACAUAACAGUGUGGGUAGAUGCUGCCCCCUAACUCAGU